GACGAACGCUGGCGGCACGCCUAACACAUGCAAGUCGAACGGAGAAAAUGAUUUCGGUUAUUUUCUUAGUGGCGGACGGGUGAGUAACACGUGAGGAACCUGCCUUUGAGAGUGGGAUAGCUUCUGGAAACGGAUGGUAAUACCGCAUAACAUAGCGAAACCGCAUGAUUUUGCUAUCAAAGUAUUUCGCUCAGAGAUGGCCUCGCGUCUGAUUAGAUAGUUGGUGAGGUAACGGCUCACCAAGUCGACGAUCAGUAGCCGGACUGAGAGGUUGAACGGCCACAUUGGGACUGAGACACGGCCCAGACUCCUACGGGAGGCAGCAGUGGGGGAUAUUGCACAAUGGGGGAAACCCUGAUGCAGCGAUGCCGCGUGGAGGAAGAAGGUUUUCGGAUUGUAAACUCCUGUCGUAAGGGAAGAGGAAGGACUGUACCUUACAAGAAAGCUCCGGCUAACUACGUG
RNAcentral lists this ribosomal RNA (462 nucleotides) under uncultured bacterium. RNAcentral's name for it is "bacterial SSU rRNA". It matches the Rfam family "Bacterial small subunit ribosomal RNA", at positions 28 to 507 of the family's 1533-position model. The record is from RNAcentral.